This 66-nucleotide transfer RNA is filed under the name Parapenaeopsis hungerfordi. RNAcentral describes it as "tRNA-Asp". The record is from RNAcentral. Lineage: Eukaryota; Metazoa; Arthropoda; Malacostraca; Decapoda; Penaeidae.
GAAAAAUUAGUUAAAUCAUAACAUAAGCUUGUCAAGCUUAAAUUAUCAUUCCUUUGAUAUUUUUUA